UACGUAGGGGGCAAGCGUUGUCCGGAAUCAUUGGGCGUAAAGCGCGCGUAGGUGGCAGGCCAAGUCUGUGGUGAAAGCGCCCGGCUCAACUGGGCAUGGUCCAUGGAAACUGGUCAGCUGGAGGACGGUAGAGGCGAGUGGAAUUCCCGGUGUAGUGGUGAAAUGCGUAGAGAUCGGGAGGAACACCAGUGGCGAAGGCGGCUCGCUGGGCCGGUCCUGACACUGAGGCGCGAAGGCGUGGGGAGCGAACGGG
RNAcentral lists this ribosomal RNA (253 nucleotides) under uncultured bacterium. RNAcentral's name for it is "partial 16S ribosomal RNA". It matches the Rfam family "Bacterial small subunit ribosomal RNA", at positions 524 to 776 of the family's 1533-position model. The record is from RNAcentral.